UACGAAGGGGGCUAGCGUUGCUCGGAAUUACUGGGCGUAAAGCGCGUGUAGGCUGCUCAGCAAGUCGGAUGUGAAAGCCCUGGGCUUAACCUAGGAAGUGCAUUCGAAACUUCUGAGCUUGAGUUCUGGAGAGGAAGGCGGAAUUCUCGGUGUAGAGGUGAAAUUCGUAGAUAUCGAGAGGAACACCGGUGGCGAAGGCGGCCUUCUGGACAGUGACUGACGCUGAGACGCGAAAGCGUGGGGAGCGAACAGG
RNAcentral lists this ribosomal RNA (253 nucleotides) under uncultured bacterium. RNAcentral's name for it is "partial 16S ribosomal RNA". It matches the Rfam family "Bacterial small subunit ribosomal RNA", at positions 524 to 776 of the family's 1533-position model. The record is from RNAcentral.